This is a non-coding RNA of Mycena metata, 93 nucleotides long. NCBI's taxonomy places the organism in Eukaryota, Fungi, Basidiomycota, Agaricomycetes, Agaricales, Mycenaceae. The record is from the annotation of a GenBank genome assembly.
GACCUGAUAGCACAAUGGUUAGUGCAGCUACUGUACUUAAUGGCAAGAAUGAAUUGUGAGUAGAAGAUCCCUGUUCAAUUCGGGGUCAGGUCA